ACUCCUACGGGAGGCAGCAGUAGGGAAUCUUCCACAAUGGACGAAAGUCUGAUGGAGCAACGCCGCGUGAGUGAAGAAGGGUUUCGGCUCGUAAAACUCUGUUGUUAAAGAAGAACAUAUCUGAGAGUAACUGUUCAGGUAUUGACGGUAUUUAACCAGAAAGCCACGGCUAACUACGUGCCAGCAGCCGCGGUAAUACGUAGGUGGCAAGCGUUGUCCGGAUUUAUUGGGGCGUAAAGCGAGCGCAGGCGGUUUUUAAGUCUGAUGUGAAAGCCUUCGGCUCAACCGAAGAAGUGCAUCGGAAACUGGGAAACUUGAGUGCAGAAGAGGACAGUGGAACUCCAUGUGUAGCGGUGAAAUGCGUAGAUAUAUGGAAGAACACCAGUGGCGAAGGCGGCUGUCUGGUCUGCAACUGACGCUGAGGCUCGAAAGUAUGGGUAGCAAACAGGAUUAGAUACCCUGGUAGGAUAGCG
Molecule: ribosomal RNA, 473 nt
Filed under: uncultured bacterium
Lineage: Bacteria
Description: bacterial SSU rRNA
Rfam family: Bacterial small subunit ribosomal RNA
Source: RNAcentral